UCCCUGGUGGUCCAGUGGUUAAGACUGCACUUCCACUGCAUAAGGUAUGGGUUCAAAUCCUGGCUGGGGAA
Molecule: transfer RNA, 71 nt
Filed under: Bos taurus (domestic cattle)
Lineage: Eukaryota; Metazoa; Chordata; Mammalia; Artiodactyla; Bovidae
Rfam family: tRNA
About the family: Transfer RNA (tRNA) molecules are approximately 80 nucleotides in length. Their secondary structure includes four short double-helical elements and three loops (D, anti-codon, and T loops). Further hydrogen bonds mediate the characteristic L-shaped molecular structure. tRNAs have two regions of fundamental functional importance: the anti-codon, which is responsible for specific mRNA codon recognition, and the 3' end, to which the tRNAs corresponding amino acid is attached (by aminoacyl-tRNA synthetases). tRNAs cope with the degeneracy of the genetic code in two manners: having more than one tRNA (with a specific anti-codon) for a particular amino acid; and 'wobble' base-pairing, i.e. permitting non-standard base-pairing at the 3rd anti-codon position.
Source: Rfam by way of RNAcentral